GAGUAACGACAAUGGGUGUGAAAAACAUCCACGCCGAAAGACCAAGGGUUCCUGCGCAACGUUAAUCGACGCAGGGUUAGUCGGUUCCUAAGGCGAGGCUGAAAAGCGUAGUCGAUGGGAAACAGGUUAAUAUUCCUGUACUUCUGGUUACUGCGAUGGAGGGACGGAGAAGGCUAGGCCAGCUUGGCGUUGGUUGUCCAAGUUUAAGGUGGUAGGCUGAAAUCUUAGGUAAAUCCGGGGUUUCAAGGCCGAGAGCUGAUGACGAGUCGUCUUUUAGAUGACGAAGUGGUUGAUGCCAUGCUUCCAAGAAAAGCUUCUAAGCUUCAGGUAACCAGGAACCGUACCCCAAACCGACACAGGUGGUCGGGUAGAGAAUACCAAGGCGCUUGAGAGAACUCGGGUGAAGGAACUAGGCAAAAUGGCACCGUAACUUCGGGAGAAGGUGCGCCGGCUAGGGUGAAGGAUUUACUCCGUAAGCUCUGGCUGGUCGAAGAUACCAGGCCGCUGCGACUGUUUAUUAAAAACACAGCACUCUGCAAACACGAAAGUGGACGUAUAGGGUGUGACGCCUGCCCGGUGCCGGAAGGUUAAUUGAUGGGGUUAGCGCAAGCGAAGCUCUUGAUCGAAGCCCCGGUAAACGGCGGCCGUAACUAUAACGGUCCUAAGGUAGCGAAAUUCCUUGUCGGGUAAGUUCCGACCUGCACGAAUGGCGUAACGAUGGCGGCGCUGUCUCCACCCGAGACUCAGUGAAAUUGAAAUCGCUGUGAAGAUGCAGUGUAUCCGCGGCUAGACGGAAAGACCCCGUGAACCUUUACUGUAGCUUUGCACUGGACUUUGAGCCUGCUUGUGUAGGAUAGGUGGGAGGCUUUGAAGCGUGGACGCCAGUUCGCGUGGAGCCAUCCUUGAAAUACCACCCUGGCAUGCUUGAGGUUCUAACUCUGGUCCGUAAUCCGGAUCGAGGACAGUGUAUGGUGGGCAGUUUGACUGGGGCGGUCUCCUCCUAAAGAGUAACGGAGGAGUACGAAGGUGCGCUCAGACCGGUCGGAAAUCGGUCGCAGAGUAUAAAGGCAAAAGCGCGCUUGACUGCGAGACAGACACGUCGAGCAGGUACGAAAGUAGGUCUUAGUGAUCCGGUGGUUCUGUAUGGAAGGGCCAUCGCUCAACGGAUAAAAGGUACUCCGGGGAUAACAGGCUGAUACCGCCCAAGAGUUCAUAUCGACGGCGGUGUUUGGCACCUCGAUGUCGGCUCAUCACAUCCUGGGGCUGAAGCCGGUCCCAAGGGUAUGGCUGUUCGCCAUUUAAAGUGGUACGCGAGCUGGGUUUAGAACGUCGUGAGACAGUUCGGUCCCUAUCUGCCGUGGACGUUUGAGAUUUGAGAGGGGCUGCUCCUAGUACGAGAGGACCGGAGUGGACGAACCUCUGGUGUUCCGGUUGUCACGCCAGUGGCAUUGCCGGGUAGCUAUGUUCGGAAAAGAUAACCGCUGAAAGCAUCUAAGCGGGAAACUUGCCUCAAGAUGAGAUCUCACUGGGAACUUGAUUCCCCUGAAGGGCCGUCGAAGACUACGACGUUGAUAGGCUGGGUGUGUAAGCGUUGUGAGGCGUUGAGCUAACCAGUACUAAUUGCCCGUGAGGCUUGACCAU
This 1641-nucleotide ribosomal RNA is filed under the name Pseudomonas aeruginosa. RNAcentral's name for it is "bacterial LSU rRNA". It matches the Rfam family "Bacterial large subunit ribosomal RNA", at positions 1304 to 2925 of the family's 2925-position model. The record is from RNAcentral. Lineage: Bacteria; Pseudomonadati; Pseudomonadota; Gammaproteobacteria; Pseudomonadales; Pseudomonadaceae.